UACGGGGGGGGCAAGCGUUGUUCGGAAUUACUGGGCGUAAAGGGCUCGUAGGUGGCCAACUAAGUCAGACGUGAAAUCCCUCGGCUUAACCGGGGAACUGCGUCCGAUACUGGUGGGCUUGAAUCCGGGAGAGGGAUGCGGAAUUCCAGGUGUAGCGGUGAAAUGCGUAGAUAUCUGGAGGAACACCGGUGGCGAAGGCGGCAUCCUGGACCGGCAUUGACGCUGAGGCGCGAAAGCUAGGGGAGCAAACGGG
RNAcentral lists this ribosomal RNA (253 nucleotides) under uncultured bacterium. RNAcentral's name for it is "partial 16S ribosomal RNA". It matches the Rfam family "Bacterial small subunit ribosomal RNA", at positions 524 to 776 of the family's 1533-position model. The record is from RNAcentral.